GAUGAACGCUGACAGAAUGCUUAACACAUGCAAGUCAAUGAGAAGACUAUACUUUGUAAAAAGUAUGGAGGUUAUCAUGGCGGACGGGUGAGUAACGCGUAAAGAACUUGCCUUUUAGACUGGGAUAACAGUUGGAAACGACUGAUAAGACUGGAUAAGAUAUAUUUAUCGCAUGAUGGAUAUAUAAAAAGAGAUGCUAAAAGAGAGCUUUGCGUCCUAUUAGCUAGUUGGUGAGGUAAGGGCUCACCAAGGCGAAGAUAGGUAGCCGGCCUGAGAGGGUGAACGGCCACAAGGGGACUGAGAUACGGCCCUUACUCUUACGGGAGGCAGCAGUGGGGAAUAUUGGACAAUGGAGGGAACUCUGAUCCAGCAAUUCUGUGUGCACGAAGAAGGUUUUCGGAUUGUAAAGUGCUUUCAGCAGGGAAGAAGGAAGUGACGGUACCUGCAGAAGAAGCGACGGCUAAAUACGUG
This 471-nucleotide ribosomal RNA is filed under the name uncultured organism. RNAcentral describes it as "bacterial SSU rRNA". It matches the Rfam family "Bacterial small subunit ribosomal RNA", at positions 28 to 507 of the family's 1533-position model. The record is from RNAcentral.